Molecule: ribosomal RNA, 323 nt
Filed under: uncultured eukaryote
Lineage: Eukaryota
Description: partial 18S ribosomal RNA
Rfam family: Eukaryotic small subunit ribosomal RNA
Source: RNAcentral
CCCUUAGAUGUUCUGGGCAGCACGCGCGCUACAAUGGUCUUCGCAAACGGAUGCAUUCUCGAAGGAGAAUGCCAAUCUUGGAAUCUAUGCCUUGGUCGGGACAGUUGCUUGCAAUUUUUCGACUCGAACCAGGAAUUCCUUGUAAUCGUGAUUCAUCACAUCACGAUGAAUACGUCCCUGCCCUUUGUACACACCGCCCGUCGCUCCUACCGAUCGAAUGAUCCGAUGAAUAUCAUGGAUUGAGGAUGCAAGUAGGUUCGCCUAUCUUCAUCUUCGAGAAGUGAAGUAAAUCUUAUCAUUUAGAGGAAGGAGAAGUCGUAACA